This 301-nucleotide ribosomal RNA is filed under the name uncultured bacterium. RNAcentral's name for it is "partial 16S ribosomal RNA". It matches the Rfam family "Bacterial small subunit ribosomal RNA", at positions 509 to 807 of the family's 1533-position model. The record is from RNAcentral.
CAGCCGCCGCGGUAAUACGUAGGGUGCGAGCGUCAAUCGGAAUUACUGGGCGUAAAGCGUGCGCAGGCGGUUAUAUAAGACAGAUGUGAAAUCCCCGGGCUCAACCUGGGACCAGCAUUUGUGACUGUAUAGCUAGAGUACGGUAGAGGGGGAUGGAAUUCCGCGUGUAGCAGUGAAAUGCGUAGAUAUGCGGAGGAAUACCGAUGGCGAAGGCAAUCCCCUGGACCUGUACUGACGCUCAUGCACGAAAGCGUGGGGAGCAAACAGGAUUAGAUACCCCCGUAGUCCCUGUCUCUUAUAC